CAAAAGGGCUGUCUGUUGUUUUUAUUCAGAAGGAAAAUGACAGCUGAUGGAGCAGCCUGGAGUGCUUCCUUGGUCUCUGAUAAUCUUAAGAAGUCACUGCUGGAAGUUUUGGAGGAUGUGAGGACAUCCAACUACUUGGAGUUUGCUCAUCAGGUCCAGCAAGGGGAGUCAGAAUGCUCAAUUGUGACUAUAUAAUGUCACCAUUUGAAGAGAUGGAUCCAGGAAACGUAAGAGAAAUUCAAGGGAAAAUCUGAAAAGGUUUAUGAGGACCUAUUGAGUCAAUACAAGGUGGAAGGUGACAACUUCAUGUAUCACAUCAUUACCAGUGAUGAGAUAUGGUGUCACCACUAUGGGCUGGAGUCCAAGCAG
RNAcentral lists this long non-coding RNA (369 nucleotides) under Gallus gallus (chicken). Its description in RNAcentral is "lncRNA (ENSGALG00010006314.1)". The record is from RNAcentral. Lineage: Eukaryota; Metazoa; Chordata; Aves; Galliformes; Phasianidae.